Molecule: ribosomal RNA, 494 nt
Filed under: uncultured bacterium
Lineage: Bacteria
Description: bacterial SSU rRNA
Rfam family: Bacterial small subunit ribosomal RNA
Source: RNAcentral
GAUGAACGCUAGCGGCAGGCUUAACACAUGCAAGUCGAGGGGCAGCGCGAUGUAGCAAUACAUUGGCGGCGACCGGCGCACGGGUGCGUAACACGUAUGGAACUUACCCUUUACUGGGAGAUAGCCCGGAGAAAUCCGGAUUAAUAUCCCAUAAUAUACGAAGUGGCAUCACUUUGUUUUGAAAGCUCCGGCGGUAAAGGAUGGCCAUGCGCACGAUUAGCUAGUAGGUGAGGUAACGGCUCACCUAGGCUACGAUCGUUAGGGGGCCUGAGAGGGUUAUCCCCCACACUGGUACUGAGACACGGACCAGACUCCUACGGGAGGCAGCAGUGAGGAAUAUUGCGCAAUGGAGGCAACUCUGACGCAGCCAUGCCGCGUGCAGGAAGAAGGCGCUACGCGUCGUAAACUGCUUUUACCAGGGAAGAAACCCCCAGACGUGUCUGGGGUUGACGGUACCUGAGGAAUAAGCACCGGCUAACUUCGUGCCAGCAGCC